RNAcentral lists this ribosomal RNA (164 nucleotides) under Layia hieracioides. RNAcentral describes it as "5.8S ribosomal RNA". It matches the Rfam family "5.8S ribosomal RNA". From Rfam's summary of the family: 5.8S ribosomal RNA (5.8S rRNA) is a component of the large subunit of the eukaryotic ribosome. Lineage: Eukaryota; Viridiplantae; Streptophyta; Magnoliopsida; Asterales; Asteraceae. The record is from RNAcentral.
CAUAAACGACUCUCGGCAACGGAUAUCUCGGCUCACGCAUCGAUGAAGAACGUAGCAAAAUGCGAUACUUGGUGUGAAUUGCAGAAUCCCGUGAACCAUCGAGUUUUUGAACGCAAGUUGCGCCCGAAGCCUUCUGGUKGAGGGCACGUCUGCCUGGGCGUCAC